CACCCCUCAAGCGCUGUCUCGCUUGGAGUUGGGGCUCUUGCAGCGAGCACUUGGUGCUCUGCAAGCCCUGAAAUUCAGCGGCGGGCCCGUCAGCACACCGAGCGUAGUAAUACUGCUUCCCGCUUAGGGCGUGCGGCGCGGCUCAGUCGACUUAUAAAAUUUCCAAAG
RNAcentral lists this unclassified non-coding RNA (168 nucleotides) under uncultured Phaeoacremonium. RNAcentral describes it as "sequence contains ITS2". The record is from RNAcentral. Lineage: Eukaryota; Fungi; Ascomycota; Sordariomycetes.